Molecule: long non-coding RNA, 511 nt
Organism: Girardinichthys multiradiatus
Lineage: Eukaryota; Metazoa; Chordata; Actinopteri; Cyprinodontiformes; Goodeidae
Exons: 2
Source: RefSeq, a predicted model, not a curated record
GUGAGCAACUGCAGAGAUAUAAAAGAAUGCUGACAGCAGACAAAGGGAAAAAAGAAAAAUCCUGCGCAUAAAAGAGGGACUGAUAAGCUGUGCAGGUUGGUGAUAAGAGACAAAAGCGGUACGUGCUGAAACGCGCUGUGACCAGGGAGAUAAAGGCCGUCGAUAACAGACACAGAGCUGAAGGUGGCGAAACACAAGCAUCUGCAAUGGACCAACAGGAAGAAAGAAAGGCCUUGAUUUCCACCCUUCCACAUACACCGACAUGGGGGCAUGGAAAUGGCACGUUCGUUCCUUAUCCACUGCUCUUAUGCAUGAAAAUAAGAGACAACAUCACAAACCAAGUUCUAUACCCAUCUACCAAAAGAAAUUAAUAAAUAUUAAUGACUUUGUAAUAUAUCCAGGUGUUCAUUCGAUUGGAAUUUUUCCUGCUUUGAUUUGUUUUUUGAACUUAUAUAGAAUAUAUACAGUGGCAUUUCAAGCCUCUGACAAUAAACAAGUAUGAACAAUCUAA